UAAUAAGUGUUUUAUGGCACUUUUUAAAUCCAUAUCCACCUUGUGUGCAAUGUCAGUCGAUCUUCUUUCAUUGGAGAUCGACCAAACAUCAACCUUUAUCUUUUAACUCUUUGUCUGAAAAUAUUAUGAAUAAACAAUUCAAAAUA
This 146-nucleotide unclassified non-coding RNA is filed under the name soil metagenome. Its description in RNAcentral is "partial internal transcribed spacer 1". The record is from RNAcentral.